RNAcentral lists this ribosomal RNA (713 nucleotides) under Paenibacillus odorifer. Its description in RNAcentral is "bacterial SSU rRNA". It matches the Rfam family "Bacterial small subunit ribosomal RNA", at positions 77 to 777 of the family's 1533-position model. Lineage: Bacteria; Bacillati; Bacillota; Bacilli; Caryophanales; Paenibacillaceae. The record is from RNAcentral.
UGCUUUCAAAGUAACUUAGCGGCGGACGGGUGAGUAACACGUAGGCAACCUGCCCUUCAGACUGGGAUAACUACCGGAAACGGUAGCUAAUACCGGAUAAUUUCUUUUUUCUCCUGAGAGAAGAAUGAAAGACGGAGCAAUCUGUCACUGAGGGAUGGGCCUGCGGCGCAUUAGCUAGUUGGUGGGGUAACGGCCCACCAAGGCGACGAUGCGUAGCCGACCUGAGAGGGUGAACGGCCACACUGGGACUGAGACACGGCCCAGACUCCUACGGGAGGCAGCAGUAGGGAAUCUUCCGCAAUGGGCGAAAGCCUGACGGAGCAACGCCGCGUGAGUGAUGAAGGUUUUCGGAUCGUAAAGCUCUGUUGCCAGGGAAGAACGUCCGGUAGAGUAACUGCUACCGGAGUGACGGUACCUGAGAAGAAAGCCCCGGCUAACUACGUGCCAGCAGCCGCGGUAAUACGUAGGGGGCAAGCGUUGUCCGGAAUUAUUGGGCGUAAAGCGCGCGCAGGCGGCUAUUUAAGUCUGGUGUUUAAACCUUGGGCUCAACCUGAGGUCGCACUGGAAACUGGGUGGCUUGAGUACAGAAGAGGAAAGUGGAAUUCCACGUGUAGCGGUGAAAUGCGUAGAUAUGUGGAGGAACACCAGUGGCGAAGGCGACUUUCUGGGCUGUAACUGACGCUGAGGCGCGAAAGCGUGGGGAGCAAACAGGA